Molecule: ribosomal RNA, 1430 nt
Filed under: uncultured bacterium
Lineage: Bacteria
Description: bacterial SSU rRNA
Rfam family: Bacterial small subunit ribosomal RNA
Source: RNAcentral
AGGAUGAACGCUGGCGGCGUGCUUAACACAUGCAAGUCGAACGAACCUUCGGGUUAGUGGCGGACGGGUGAGUAACGCGUGGGAAUCUGCCCUCAGGAGGGGGAUAACGGCUGGAAACGGCCGCUAAUACCCCAUAUGCCGAGAGGUGAAAUGAAUUUCGCCUGAGGAUGAGCCCGCGUCUGAUUAGCUAGUUGGUGAGGUAAGAGCUCACCAAGGCAUCGAUCAGUAGCUGGUCUGAGAGGAUGAUCAGCCACACUGGGACUGAGACACGGCCCAGACUCCUACGGGAGGCAGCAGUGGGGAAUUUUCCGCAAUGGGCGAAAGCCUGACGGAGCAACGCCGCGUGAGGGAUGAAGGCCUCUGGGCUGUAAACCUCUUUUCUCAAGGAAGAAGAUCUGACGGUACUUGAGGAAUAAGCCACGGCUAAUUCCGUGCCAGCAGCCGCGGUAAUACGGGAGUGGCAAGCGUUAUCCGGAAUUAUUGGGCGUAAAGCGUCCGCAGGCGGCCUUUCAAGUCUGCUGUUAAAACGUGGAGCUUAACUCCAUCAUGGCAGUGGAAACUGUUGGGCUUGAGUGUGGUAGGGGCAGAGGGAAUUCCCGGUGUAGCGGUGAAAUGCGUAGAUAUCGGGAAGAACACCAGUGGCGAAGGCGCUCUGCUGGGCCAUAACUGACGCUCAUGGACGAAAGCCAGGGGAGCGAAAGGGAUUAGAUACCCCUGUAGCCCUGGCCGUAAACGAUGAACACUAGGUGUCGGGGGAAUCGACCCCCUCGGUGUCGUAGCCAACGCGUUAAGUGUUCCGCCUGGGGAGUACGCACGCAAGUGUGAAACUCAAAGGAAUUGACGGGGGCCCGCACAAGCGGUGGAGUAUGUGGUUUAAUUCGAUGCAACGCGAAGAACCUUACCAGGGUUUGACAUCCUGCGAAUCUCUUGGAAACGAGAGAGUGCCUUCGGGAACGCAGUGACAGGUGGUGCAUGGCUGUCGUCAGCUCGUGUCGUGAGAUGUUGGGUUAAGUCCCGCAACGAGCGCAACCCACGUCUUUAGUUGCCAGCAUUUAGUUGGGCACUCUAGAGAGACCGCCGGUGAUAAACCGGAGGAAGGUGUGGAUGACGUCAAGUCAUCAUGCCCCUUACAUCCUGGGCUACACACGUACUACAAUGCUACGGACAAAGAGCAGCAAGUUCGCGAAGACAAGCAAAUCUCAUAAACCGUGGCUCAGUUCAGAUCGUAGGCUGCAACUCGCCUACGUGAAGGAGGAAUCGCUAGUAAUCGCAGGUCAGCAUACUGCGGUGAAUACGUUCCCGGGCCUUGUACACACCGCCCGUCACACCAUGGAAGUUGGCCACGCCCGAAGCCGUUACUCCAACCCUUGUGGAGGAGGACGUCGAAGGUGGGGCUGAUGACUGGGGUGAAGUCGUAACAAGGUAGCCGU